Non-coding RNA from Pelobates cultripes (western spadefoot toad), 278 nucleotides. The record is from the annotation of a GenBank genome assembly. Lineage: Eukaryota; Metazoa; Chordata; Amphibia; Anura; Pelobatidae.
GCCAGAUUUACGGGCACGUGUAACCUGAUGAUACAAGAGAUUAUGUUACCAGUCAUUAUAUUAUGUUAGCAGUAUAUACAGACUGCUUUAGUAAUAUAACUUUUUCAGAUAAUGCUGUCUAUGCUCUGCUGCUCGGUACACAUCCAGCAUUUUCUGUGUUGUAUCUGAUAUGUUGCUCUUCUGAGUCCUUGUGUGCAAGUCAAUGAUGUUGCAAUGGAUAAGGUGACCCACUUAGUAUACUAUAUGUAAUAUAUAGGAGAAAAAAAAGUGAUGUGUAU